CAGCCGUGCGGAGCUUACACAUGCAGUCGAGCGGAACGAUACCAGCUUGCUGGUAGGCGUCGAGCGGCGGACGGGUGAGUAAUACUUAGGAAUCUACCUAGUAGUGGGGGAUAGCUCGGGGAAACUCGAAUUAAUACCGCAUACGACCUACGGGAGAAAGGGGGCAGUUUACUGCUCUCGCUAUUAGAUGAGCCUAAGUCGGAUUAGCUAGAUGGUGGGGUAAAGGCCUACCAUGGCGACGAUCUGUAGCUGGUCUGAGAGGAUGAUCAGCCACACCGGGACUGAGACACGGCCCGGACUCCUACGGGAGGCAGCAGUGGGGAAUAUUGGACAAUGGGGGAAACCCUGAUCCAGCCAUGCCGCGUGUGUGAAGAAGGCCUUUUGGUUGUAAAGCACUUUAAGCAGUGAAGAAGACUCCUCGGUUAAUACCCGUGGACGAUGACAUUAGCUGCAGAAUAAGCACCGGCUAACUCUGUGCCAGCAGCCGCGGUAAUACAGAGGGUGCAAGCGUUAAUCGGAAUUACUGGGCGUAAAGCGAGCGUAGGUGGCUUGAUAAGUCAGAUGUGAAAUCCCCGGGCUUAACCUGGGAACUGCAUCUGAAACUGUUGGGCUAGAGUAGGUGAGAGGAAGGUAGAAUUCCAGGUGUAGCGGUGAAAUGCGUAGAGAUCUGGAGGAAUACCGAUGGCGAAGGCAGCCUUCUGGCAUCAUGCUGACACUGAGGCUCGAAAGCGUGGGUAGCAAACAGGAUUAGAUACCCUGAUAGUCCACGCCGUAAACGAUGUCUACUAGUCGUUGGGUCCCUUGAGGACUUAAUGACGCAGCUAACGCAAUAAGUAGACCGCCUGGGGAGUACGGCCGCAAGGCUAAAACUCAAUGAAUUGACGGGGGCCCGCACAAGCGGUGGAGCAUGUGGUUUAUUCGAUGCAACGCGAAGACCUUACCUGGUCUUGACAUAUCUAGAAUCCUGCAGAGAUGCGGGAGGGCCUACGGUA
Molecule: ribosomal RNA, 992 nt
Filed under: uncultured bacterium
Lineage: Bacteria
Description: bacterial SSU rRNA
Rfam family: Bacterial small subunit ribosomal RNA
Source: RNAcentral